This 541-nucleotide ribosomal RNA is filed under the name uncultured bacterium. RNAcentral describes it as "partial 16S ribosomal RNA". It matches the Rfam family "Bacterial small subunit ribosomal RNA", at positions 355 to 885 of the family's 1533-position model. The record is from RNAcentral.
UGGGGAAUAUUGCACAAUGGGCGCAAGCCUGAUGCAGCCAUGCCGCGUGUGUGAAGAAGGCCUUCGGGUUGUAAAGCACUUUCAGCGAGGAGGAAGGUGGUGAGCUUAAUACGCUCAUCAAUUGACGUUACUCGCAGAAGAAGCACCGGCUAACUCCGUGCCAGCAGCCGCGGUAAUACGGAGGGUGCAAGCGUUAAUCGGAAUUACUGGGCGUAAAGCGCACGCAGGCGGUUUGUUAAGUCAGAUGUGAAAUCCCCGGGCUCAACCUGGGAACUGCAUUUGAAACUGGCAGGCUAGAGUCUCGUAGAGGGGGGUAGAAUUCCAGGUGUAGCGGUGAAAUGCGUAGAGAUCUGGAGGAAUACCGGUGGCGAAGGCGGCCCCCUGGACGAAGACUGACGCUCAGGUGCGAAAGCGUGGGGCAGCAAACAGGAUUAGAUACCCUGGUAGUCCACGCUGUAAACGAUGUCGAUUUUGGAGGUUGUGCCCUUGAGGCGUGGCUUCCGGAGCUAACGCGUUAAAGUCGACCGCCUGGGGAGUACGG